UGAAUACGAGACGCUAAGGCGUCGAAGUAGUGUAUAUCAGACUUCCAAGAAAAGCUUGCACUGUCAUAGAUAAAAAAUGCCUGUACCAUAACCGACACAGGUGGGUAGGUAGAGUAUACUAAGGGGCGCGAGAUAACUCUCUCUAAGGAACUCGGCAAAAUAACUCCGUAACUUCGGGAGAAGGAGUGCCUUAUUUAUAAGGUUGCAAUAACAAGAUCCAAGCAACUGUUUAUCAAAAACACAGGUCUCCGCUAAGUCGUAAGACGAUGUAUGGGGGCUGACGCCUGCCCAGUGCCAGAAGGUUAAAGAAGUUGGUUAGCAAUUGCGAAGCUGAUAACUGAAGCCCUGGUGAACGGCGGCCGUAACUAUAACGGUCCUAAGGUAGCGAAAUUCCUUGUCGGGUAAGUUCCGACCCGCACGAAAGGCGUAAUGAUUUGGAUACUGUCUCGGAGAGGGGCUCGGUGAAAUAGACUUGUCUGUGAAGAUGCGGACUACCUGCACCAGGACAGAAAGACCCUAUGAAGCUUUACUGUAACUUGAAAUUGAAAUUGGACUUUAUUCGCGCAGCAUAGGUGGGAGGCGUUGAUUAUAAUCUUGCGGGAUUAUUGGAGCCAUCAGUGAGAUACCACUCUUGUAAUGUUAGAUUUCUAACUUUGAAUCAUUAUCUGGUCAAAGAACAGUUUCAGGCGGGCAGUUUGACUGGGGCGGUCGCCUCCUAAAUGGUAACGGAGGCGUACAAAGGUUUCCUCUGAACGGUUAGAAAUCGUAUCUAGAGUGUAAAGGCAUAAGGAAGCUUGACUGUGAGACCUACAAGUCGAGCAGGGACGAAAGUCGGUCUUAGUGAUCUGACGGUACUGAGUGGAAAGGCCGUCACUCAACGGAUAAAAGUUACUCUAAGGAUAACAGGCUGAUCUCCCCCAAGAGUUCACAUCGACGGGGAGGUUUGGCACCUCGAUGUCGGCUCAUCGCAUCCUGGGGCGGUAGUACGUCCCAAGGGUUGGGCUGUUCGCCCAUGAAAGCGGUACGCGAGCUGGGUUCAGAACGUCGUGAGACAGUUCGGUCCAUAUCCGGUGUAGGCGUUAGAAUAUUGAGAGGAGCCUUCUUUAGUAAGAGAGGACCGAGAAGGACAUACCUCUGGUGUACCAGUUAUCGUGCCAACGGUAAACGCUGGGUAGCUAUGUAUGGAGUGGAUAACCGCUGAAAGCAUCUAAGUGGGAAGCCCACCUCAAGAUAAG
Molecule: ribosomal RNA, 1235 nt
Filed under: metagenome
Description: bacterial LSU rRNA
Rfam family: Bacterial large subunit ribosomal RNA
Source: RNAcentral